Molecule: transfer RNA, 80 nt
Filed under: Camelus bactrianus (Bactrian camel)
Lineage: Eukaryota; Metazoa; Chordata; Mammalia; Artiodactyla; Camelidae
Also listed under: 3 other names
Rfam family: tRNA
About the family: Transfer RNA (tRNA) molecules are approximately 80 nucleotides in length. Their secondary structure includes four short double-helical elements and three loops (D, anti-codon, and T loops).
Source: Rfam by way of RNAcentral
AAGGUAAUAGCUCAGUGGUAGAGUGCAUGCUUAGCAUGUACAACAUGCACAAGGUCCUGGGUUCAAUCCUCAGUACCUUC